RNAcentral lists this ribosomal RNA (254 nucleotides) under uncultured bacterium. Its description in RNAcentral is "partial 16S ribosomal RNA". It matches the Rfam family "Bacterial small subunit ribosomal RNA", at positions 524 to 776 of the family's 1533-position model. The record is from RNAcentral.
UACGGAAGGGGCAAGCGUUGUUCGGAAUCAUUGGGCGUAAAGAGCUCGUAGGCGGUUCCGUAGGUCGGAUGUGAAAACUCGGGGCUCAACCCCGAGACGCCAUCCGAUACUGCGGUGACUUGAGUCUGGUAGGGGAACACGGAAUUCCUGGUGUAGCGGUGAAAUGCGCAGAUAUCAGGAGGAACACCGGUGGCGAAGGCGGAUCUCUGGGCCUGUCCUGACGCUCAGGCGCGAAGGUCAGGGGAGCAAACGGG